CGCGUUAUUCGCGGCAGUCUCUCUAGAGGGCCCAACUGAAUGAUGGCAACUAGAAACGAGGGUUGCGCUCGUUGCGGGACUUAACCCAACAUCUCACGACACGAGCUGACGACAGCCAUGCAGCACCUGUGUGGAAAGCUCCAUUGCUGGAGAAGCACGAUCUCUCAUGCAGUCUUUCCCAUGUCAAGUCCUGGUAAGGUUCUGCGCGUUGCGUCGAAUUAAACCACAUGCUCCACCGCUUGUGCGGGCCCCCGUCAAUUCCUUUGAGUUUCAGUCUUGCGACCGUAUUCCCCAGGCGGAACACUUAACGCGUUAGCUACGUUACUGAGAAGGAACCUUCCCAACAACCAGUUGACAUCGUUUAGGGCGUGGACUAC
This 377-nucleotide unclassified non-coding RNA is filed under the name uncultured bacterium. RNAcentral describes it as "contains 16S-23S intergenic spacer region". The record is from RNAcentral.